CACAAGCGGAGGAACAUGUGGUUAAUUCGAUGAUACGCGAGGAACUUACCUGGGCUUAAAUGUAGAGUGCAUUUUUAGAGAUAGAAAUUCCCUUCGGGGCUUUCUGCAAGGUGCUGCAUGGUUGUCGUCAGCUCGUGCCGUGAGGUGUCGGGUUAAGUCCCAUAACGAGCGCAACCCUUAUCGUUAGUUGCCAUCUGGUAAUGCAGGGGACUCUAGCGAAACUGCCACCGUAAGGUGAGAGGAAGGUGGGAUGACGUCAAAUCAGCACGGCCCUUAUGUCCAGGGCUACACACGUGUUACAAUGGUCGGUACAGAGGGCAGCUACCUGGUGACAGGAUGCUAAUCUCGAAAACCGGUCUCAGUUCGGAUCGAAGUCUGCAACUCGACUUCGUGAAGCUGGAUUCGCUAGUAAUCGCGCAUCAGCUAUGGCGCGGUGAAUACGUUCCCGGGCCUU
Molecule: ribosomal RNA, 454 nt
Filed under: uncultured Sphingobacteriales bacterium
Lineage: Bacteria; Pseudomonadati; Bacteroidota; Sphingobacteriia; Sphingobacteriales
Description: bacterial SSU rRNA
Rfam family: Bacterial small subunit ribosomal RNA
Source: RNAcentral